AGAGUUUGAUCCUGGCUCAGAACGAACGCUGAUGGCGUGCCUCAUACAUGCAAGUCGAGCGGGAGCAGCAAUGCUUCAGCGGCGAACGGGUGAGUAACGCGUAAACAAUCUGCCCAAAAGCGGGGGAUAACCAUCCUAACGGAUGGCUAAUACCGCAUAGGGUUAAGGGGUCUCCUGGCCUCUUAACGAAAGACUUCGGUCACUUUUGGAUGAGUUUGCGUCCCAUUAGCUUGUUGGCGGGGUAACGGCCCACCAAGGCAACGAUGGGUAGCCGGCCUGAGAGGGUGAACGGCCACAUUGGGACUGAGAUACGGCCCAGACUCCUACGGGAGGCAGCAGUAGGGAAUUUUGCGCAAUGGGGGAAACCCUGACGCAGCAACGCCAUGUGAGGGAUGACGCAUUUCGGUGUGUAAACCUCUGUCAGCAGGGAAUAAAAGCGCUUUUCGGAGCGCCGUGAAUGUACCUGCAAAGGAAGCCCCGGCUAACUUCGUGCCAGCAGCCGCGGUAAUACGAGGGGGGCAAGUGUUGUUCGGAAUUACUGGGCGUAAAGGGAGCGUAGGCGGGCGCGUAAGUGGGAUGUUUAAUGUCGGGGCCCAACCCCGGUUUUGCAUUCCAAACUGCGUGUCUUGAAUAGGGUAGAGGUAGAUGGAAUUGGAGGUGUAGCGGUGGAAUGCGUAAUAUCUCCAAGAAACACCGAUUGCGAAGGCAGUCUACUGGGCCCAUAUUGACGCUGAGGCUCGAAAGCGUUGGGGAGCAAACAGGAUUUAGAUACCCUGGGUAGUCCACGCCGUUAAACGAUGAACACUUAAGUAUUGUCCCUCGUCAACGGGGCAGUGCCGUAGCUAACGCGUUAAGUGUUCCGCCUGGGGAGUACGGCCGCAAGGCUGAAACUCAAAAGGAAUUGACGGGGGGCCCGCACAAGCGGUGGAGCAUGUGGUUUAAUUCGACGCAACGCGAAGAACCUUACCAAGGCUUGACAUGGGACAGACCGGACGAGAGAUCGUCCUUCUUCAGCAAUGAAGCUGUCCACACAGGUGCUGCAUGGCUGUCGUCAGCUCGUGUCGUGAGAUGUUGGGUUAAGUCCCGCAACGAGCGCAACCCUCGUUUCCAGUUGCCAGCAUUCAGUUGGGCCCUCUGGAGAGACUGCCGCGAAUAACGCGGAGGAAGGUGGGGACGACGUCAAGUCAUCAUGGCCCUUACGUCUUGGGCUACACACGUGCUACAAUGGGCGGUACAGAGGGUCGCAAUGCCGCGAGGUGGAGCCAAUCCCCAAAACCGCCCUCAGUUCGGAUUGGAGUCUGCAACUCGACUCCAUGAAGUUGGAAUCGCUAGUAAUCGCGGAUCAGUAUGCCGCGGUGAAUACGUUCCCGGGCCUUGUGCACACCGCCCGUCAAGCCACGAAAGGAGAGAGCGCUCUAAGCCGCGAUGGUAACCCGCAAGGGAGCCCAGCGUCUAAAGCGAGAUUUCUAAUUGGGGCUAAGUCGUAACAAGGUAGCCGUAUCGGAAGGUGCGGCUGGAUCACCUCC
Molecule: ribosomal RNA, 1526 nt
Filed under: uncultured bacterium
Lineage: Bacteria
Description: bacterial SSU rRNA
Rfam family: Bacterial small subunit ribosomal RNA
Source: RNAcentral